Molecule: transfer RNA, 73 nt
Filed under: Cordylochernes scorpioides
Lineage: Eukaryota; Metazoa; Arthropoda; Arachnida; Pseudoscorpiones; Chernetidae
Description: tRNA-Thr
Source: RNAcentral
GUCCAGGGAUGGGAAUCGAACCCACAGUGUUCCACUUACCAGGAAGAUUCUAUGUCCACUAAGCUACCCUGGA